RNAcentral lists this non-coding RNA (81 nucleotides) under unclassified sequences. The record is from RNAcentral.
UUGCCCUUUGUAUGGUGGUGGAGUUGGAAACACCCACACGGCUACUAUUGCUGCCGAGGAACACCUAAACAGAGGGCGUUU